This 610-nucleotide ribosomal RNA is filed under the name marine bacterium A3. RNAcentral's name for it is "bacterial SSU rRNA". It matches the Rfam family "Bacterial small subunit ribosomal RNA", at positions 45 to 702 of the family's 1533-position model. The record is from RNAcentral.
UGCCUACACAUGCAAGUCGAACGAACCCUUCGGGGUUAGUGGCGCACGGGUGCGUAACGCGUGGGAACCUGCCUUUAGGUUCGGAAUAACUCAGAGAAAUUUGAGCUAAUACCGGAUAAUGUCUUCGGACCAAAGAUUUAUCGCCUUUAGAUGGGCCCGCGUUAGAUUAGAUAGUUGGUGGGGUAAUGGCCUACCAAGUCGACGAUCUAUAGCUGGUCUGAGAGGAUGAUCAGCCACACUGGGACUGAGACACGGCCCAGACUCCUACGGGAGGCAGCAGUGGGGAAUAUUGGACAAUGGGCGAAAGCCUGAUCCAGCAAUGCCGCGUGAGUGAUGAAGGCCUUAGGGUUGUAAAGCUCUUUUACCAGGGAUGAUAAUGACAGUACCUGGAGAAUAAGCUCCGGCUAACUCCGUGCCAGCAGCCGCGGUAAUACGGAGGGAGCUAGCGUUGUUCGGAAUUACUGGGCGUAAAGCGCGCGUAGGCGGCGUAUCAAGUCAGGGGUGAAAUCCCGGGGCUCAACCCCGGAACUGCCCUUGAAACUAGUAUGCUAGAAUACUGGAGAGGUGAGUGGAAUUCCGAGUGUAGAGGUGAAAUUCGUAGAUAUUCGGA